RNAcentral lists this long non-coding RNA (963 nucleotides) under Homo sapiens (human). RNAcentral's name for it is "ASH1L antisense RNA 1, transcript variant 2 (ASH1L-AS1)". The record is from RNAcentral. Lineage: Eukaryota; Metazoa; Chordata; Mammalia; Primates; Hominidae.
GCUCUCUCAGAGAUCCAGGUCCGGGAGAUGACAGUGGCUCCCAGAAAGCCCAGGAUUCAAUCGCUGAGAGAGUGCUUAGGCCCGAAUGCCGGCCCAAAUCGUUCUACUCACCGUGUCGGAGGCCGAGGCCGAGGCCGAGAGCGAUGAGAGUGCAGGGAAGUGGGGAAGAGGGGGUGGCCGCCAGGCUCCUCCGCUUCCCUGGGUCCACGGCGGAUCCCUCCCGCUUGUCAGGAGGCGGCCAGCGGUAGCAGGACCGCUGCUGUGGAGCUGGUCGCAGGCGGUGUGUGCCGGUCGCCUAGUCAGGAGAACUAGUCCUCGACUCACGGUGAGGGAAUGGACCGACACGGGUAUUGUACCGCUGAGGGAAAGGAGCGGGACUCCGGACCUCCAGGAGGUAGGGAGUGAGGCCAGUAGGACCGGCGCGCCUCCGGGGGGAUUCCUCCCGGGCGUUGAGUUGCCAACCUGGGACCCGAGGAAGAUCGGCGUGGUGGUGUGCUUUUUGUUGUUGUUAACCCUCCUCGGAUUUCUCGAAUUUCACACCACUGUCCAUAUGCGAUGAUGUUUGUUUGCCCUUGACGCACUUACUCAUGGAUGGUACUUCUUCAGCCUCGUUAGACAGCCUGGUGAUGGAGGAUGAAGAAACCAUGUGCUUUUCAUUCAGUUCUGGACUUAGUCUCCCUUUUCUUCCUUCAGCAAGUUAUUUUUGUUAGUUCCUUAUCAAAAAGUGUACAUAAAAAUUAGGCAACUCCAAACAUGCCUCCAGGGUUAAUGUGUGAAAUAAUAAGAUAAUAUAUGUAAAGUGGAAUUAGCUCCUAGGCAUAGGGAAAGUGCAGAAUAUUGCCGUGUUGUCAUUUACAGUUCUGUUGAUGUCGAUAACGUUUGUGGGUGUAAUUGGUAGUGUUCUGUCCCUCCAAGGAGUUAAUAAAACAAAGCAAACAUAAAAAAAAAAAAAAAAAAAAAAAA